UUUUUUUUACCCCGGGGGAAUGGAAUAGGANGUGUGUUUCUAUUUUGUUGGUUCCUAGGACCGCCGUAGUGAUUAUAGGGACAGUCGGGGGCAUCAGUAUUCGAUCGUGAGAGGUGAAAUUCUUGGAUCGAUGGAAGACUAAUUACUGCGAAAGCNUUUGCCAAGGAUGUUUUCAUUAAUCAGGAACGAAAGUUAGGGGAUCGAAAACGAUCAGAUACCGUUGUAGUCUUAACCAUNAACUAUGCCGACUAGGGAUCGGACGAUGUUAUUUCUUGACUCGUUCGGCACCCUACACGAAAGUAAAGUUUAUGGAUUUUGGGGGGAGUAUGGUCGCAAGGCUGAAACUCAAAGAAAUUGACGGAAGGGCACCACAAGGGGUGGAGCCUGCGGCUUAAUUUGACUCAACACGGGGAAACUCACCAGGUCCAGACACAACUAGGACUGACAGACUCAGAGCUCCUUCUUGAUUUUGUGGGUGGUGGUGCAUGGCCGUUGUCAAGAGAUGGAAUGAUUCGUCCGCUUAAUUGCGAUAACGAACGAGACGUUUACAUCGGAAAUAGCCCGUUCCGGAUAGGCGGAACGCUGGCUUUUUAGAGGGACAAUCGCCUCAAGCCGACGGAAGUUUGAGGCAAUAACAGGUCUGUGAUGCCCUUAGAUGUUCUGGGCCGCACGCGCGAUACACUGACAGAGCCAGCGAGUUCCUCCUGGCCGGAAGGCCUAUUUAGUCNNNCNANNGGGG
This 739-nucleotide ribosomal RNA is filed under the name Sirococcus conigenus. Its description in RNAcentral is "bacterial SSU rRNA". It matches the Rfam family "Eukaryotic small subunit ribosomal RNA", at positions 798 to 1564 of the family's 1831-position model. The record is from RNAcentral. Lineage: Eukaryota; Fungi; Ascomycota; Sordariomycetes; Diaporthales.